GACGAACCGAGCGAACGUUGUUCGGAAUCACUGGGCUUAAAAGGCGCGUAGGCGGGCUGUCAAGUCUGGGGUGAAAUCCCACGGCUCAACCGUGGAACUGCCUUAGAUACUGACGGCCUCGAGGGAGAUAGGGGCGAGCGGAACUGUGAGUGGAGCGGUGAAAUGCGUUGAUAUUCACAGGAACUCCGGUGGCGAAGGCGGCUCGCUGGAUCUUUUCUGACGCUGAGGCGCGAAAGCUAGGGGAGCAAACGGG
This 253-nucleotide ribosomal RNA is filed under the name uncultured bacterium. RNAcentral describes it as "partial 16S ribosomal RNA". It matches the Rfam family "Bacterial small subunit ribosomal RNA", at positions 524 to 776 of the family's 1533-position model. The record is from RNAcentral.